GUCUAAUGAUACCAGGUAAUGAUACGUUCAAGAUAAGACUUGCCGAAUUCAAAGUAAUCCACCCUUUCCAUUCUCAAGAUAAACACCCACAAACAUCAGCAUGCACAGGUCAAGGCCACUCGCACAGACAUCAGAGUUGUACAUAACGAGUCAUUAGGGGCUGGGAACCAAUUAAAUCUAUUUCCUUUAUUUCUUAUGGGAAAAACUGUUUCGGACAACGAACAUUUCGGAUAACGAACAACUUUCCAGAACGGAUUAUGUUCGUUAACCGAGGUUCCGCUGUAUUUGUGGUGUUCUCACGUGUGCCUGUCGUUUGUUUUGCACUGGAGAGCAAUGGGAUUCGUUGCUACACGCGACACUGACAAUUCACCAAUUUACCCUCUGGCAGUUUGCUCUUAAUGUGGCCCUUCAUUACAGACCAUGGAGACAUUUUGUUUGCACAACAGUCUGUCAACAAAAUAGUCCUUAGGUAUCUAUUUAUUAAGUGUACUUUGUUGGAACUGGCAAGAUUUUAUCCAGCCAGAAAACCGCAGGUUUAAUGAAAUGUAGAAAUCAUACAUGGUAUCUCUAUUUCCAGUCUCCUUAUAGCAUGGCUUGUUUUCAUAAACAUACUAGUAAUAUAGUCCGAGGGCCAGGGCCAUAGUUUUCUUUUGUUUUCGAAUAUCAUAACACUUUCAUUGUCUUCUUGUACCCCAAACCUUGCACCACCCCAUCACUUGUUGAAAUUGUGUCUUGUAGACUUCCCUGCAGUCUCUUACUACCAAAAUUAUUACUGAUCUGAGCAUAUGGCACACACUUGUUGCAGGACACAUCAUUAAAGCAAUCUGCUAGAACUCUAUUUUUAUUAAAUCACUUUAUUUGCAUUGACGUUCAUUUUCCAAUCACAGUAGGUGUACAGUUAAUGUAUUUGUAUACUCAUAUGUGUCAGUGUAUGCUGUCAUCAUUACAGUAUGGUAGGGAGCAAUUUUCAAGUCGUGCACUUGAAGAUCAAUUCACAGUUCCCUGUAGCUGACAGGUCUGCAUACUUCACAGUUUUGAAGGGAAUGGCAAUGAGGUAGGCACCAGCAAAAAUAGUUUUCAUGUUCACUGGUGUACUGUGACACCAUGUCACCUGGCUAUGCCACUGGUGUAUAGUGACAACAGAUCAUCUUGUUCUUUUGUUGGCGUACAGUGAUACCAUGUCCUCUUGCACUUGUAUUGGUAUAGUGAUACCUGUCAUCUUGUGUCAGUUAUUCACAGUGACACCAUGCCAUCUUGCAGUUUUUAUUAUGUACAGUGACACCAUGCUGUUGCCAUUGCAAAUCUCAUUGCGAUCUCAGCGUUAAAAUGUGUAUCGCCUGGAUCUUAAGCCAACAUUGAUGGAAAAACAACAGUCCCUUGCCCUGCACACUGACAAUUUUUACAGGUAGAACUGGUCGGUGGGGAAAGCGUUCCUAACCACACCAUCGGCAGUAUUCAGAUUGUCUAUCACGGGUCCAUUUUGACAUUUAUGUGUCGCGCAUCUUGUCUGGAACCUGAUGUGGACGCGAAAGCUCUUCUUUGCCCAUGGUGCCGUCCAAUUUAGCUCCAUUUUUCAGAAGUUAGUUGGCUUGACUAGAGUGUCACUGCACCCUGCUAGCUGCUACCCGUUUCACCAGUGCUCAGCUUACUGAUGAUAACAUGUGGAAGUUGUGCUGCUAUAAUCAGGUUUUUGUUUAGUUUUCUGUCGCCUGCAGUUUUUGCCCUGGAAAUGAAACUGGAAGCUACCGGCAGAGCGUCCUCAGCUUCCUACAUUGUCGUGUUUUUAGGAUAUCAACAUUCACGUGUAGUUUUGUUGCUGUUUAUCAUUCCUUUAUAUGAAAAUGAAAACAAACAAAGAAAAAUACAAACAAGUGUGUCGACAUGUUCUUCAGGCUCAUUAUCUACAUCAGAGGCGCUCCCGUUGCAUAACAGACUGCUUCUCGACGUCAAAACAACUCGAUGACUGAUUGUGUGUCGCCAUAAUCAAACUUUCUAUAACUUAUUGUGUCUAAACUCCUGGCUUUUCUACUAUAGUUUUCUAUAUUAUGCUGCAGUUGAGUUUCCAUCUCUUUUCAAUCUCCUUUUUAAUGCCCAGUGUCUCAGUUGAGUGGUUUCCAGGCUGAUCACCCAAGAUACACCUUUUAAAAGUUGCCUUGUAGCCAACAGUCUGUCCAGGAGGAUAAACUAGACUGUUUGAUGUCUGUGUGGAGAUAAAAAGUACCUCAAGCAAGUGGCGAGUAUGAUGUGUACAUACUGAACACGUUUGUAAAAUGCCAGCCACGGCUCACUUCAUGAUGCGACGAGAUGGGUUUUCUGGUGCAGACAAGGACAGCUAGACAGCCAACGACUUGUGACCGCCCCCUCAGCAGGGAACAACUUUCACACAGGUGAAGACAUCGCAUCAAUCUAUGCAAUCCCCGUGUUCCCUGAGGGCGCCAUCAUCUUUCUCUCGCCCUCCCCUCCCGUUGUGGGCCUGUGCGCGCGUAGUGGCUGUGCAACUUGCCCUCUGUUCAUGCUAAUAGCCAUUUUAUAUAGCUGUUUAGCAUAUUGUGUAUAUUUUGCCGGCCCUUCCCAUGGACCACAGUCCCUGCCGUACUGGGGAGGGCGGUGGAGUGCAGGUGUUGGGUGGGUGUAGAGAUGAUUAAUUGUCUUUUGUCUCUAGGACGCAGCGCUGUCUUGCUUGUGACAGACGGUAGCACGGUUAACAUGUUGACACAGCGGUUUGCCUGACGUAACAAUGGGAGGCGAGUGGAGAAAGCAGCUGAGUGUAGAAGUGUGUAGAUGUGUAGGUCACUACCACACUGACCAACUGGCGGCGUGAAGUGCUCGGCACUCCGCACGAAAUACACUCAGCCUCCCAUCGCAUCAUUCCUGCCGUAUGUCACCUGGACGGAGAGAAAACACAAGAGGUCCUCAGGUAGACGUCUAACGAAGCGGAACCGAAGCUGUUUGCAGACUGUCAGUGAUAGAGAAGCAGUCUGCCUGCGGUACUGACCGUCUGAGGCUGCGGAGAGCCGCGGUGAUGAGCGAGGGGAGACAAGCGUGUGAUGGGUCGGCCACGUGGCACGAGGGCAAUUCGGGGUGAGGUGGUGGGAGGGGUGGGGGAGGGAAGCGACAGUCGGUGAUGGACGGUGUUGACGGCAGCUGAUGUGAUGCGUGGUCCUUCACACACCUCGCCAGAGAUCGGCACCUACAGGCAGCGACACAGCAGUGGUCACAGGUUGAUGUGGACGUGACGAGCUGUCAGCAAGACAAUGAAACGAGAGUGAUAUUGGCUGCACCACCAAAGCAUAUCAUCGUGACAAACUGAAUACAAUUCCCUGGUAUAGAGUUAGCUCACAGUGUGGUUUGAACUGAGCACUGCUCGCAGUCUUUGUGACCUCGCGACCUGUGGCCCGUUAGCUGAACAGGAGAGUGGACGACUUGCAUGUCUCACCUCCCCCGUCCCCAUCUUUUGUCGCCCAUAGGUUGUGGCCUGGUUUUGAUACGGGCACUAUUGGACUAAACACUUGGAAACCUGGAUGUCGCUCCUCCUCCCCUGUCAUCACAAAUGAGUCAGUGAGCGCCUUAGUACCGCCUGUUAGGGAGACAAGCACUGUUGCUUGACUUCAUGGGCUUUCUUUUUAAAAAGUGAGGAGAAAGCCGUCUGCUACCUGCUCAUCACCACGAUUUGCUCGUGGCUCAGGCUUUACAGUAAUUCACGGAAAUAUUUCUCAUAUUUCUGCAGCGCAUUGUAUUCUAAUAAUUGCUACUGAGUGGACAUCAGCGACUAAGCACAAGCAUGGUGUUGAAGAUAACAGGUCUGUGCAUGGUGGCAGCACUAGAGUAAGCCGGGCUGUCAAGUGAUGGAAUGACGGUUGUGUGCGCUGGAGAAGUUGUCUCGUUAAUCUAUUGUCUUGGAGUGAUCAGUGCAUGACUUAAUCUGGGGUUUCUAUAAUCCUUAUAAAGUGGAUCAGCGUGGUGACCUUUCCAUCAUUCGCACAUCGUAACUGCACCUCUCCACCCUUACAUAUCCCCUCCGCGACACUCUUUCUUCACCUGUGGUGCGCACAUCAUCGCUUUCGUUGUUGCCCGAAGUAACCUAGAGGAGCUGUCACGUGAACUCAGCACCAUGGAGCUGCUGGGCAUGCUGCAGCACUUGGCCACGUGGAGGGCGUUGAGCGUGGUGGCUUUCCUUGACGUGGUCUUCAUCCUGCUGCAACUCAGCUCCCCUCCCACAGGCGUGCACCCUCUCUUCAUCCUCUUCUCUGGCAGCUCCGAUCACCUCGAUCCGCACCAGCGGCUGCUGCAAGAACUGCAGGUGGAGCGCCGCAAGGUGUUGAGCGACAUGCUGCACACGGCGCACACGCUGCGCAACGCCACGCGCACGCUGCAACUGAGUGAGGAGAUGCUGGCCGCCGUAGACUCCCGACUGCAGGCGUUUGAGAAUGCACUGCGCCACUACAGCGACCAGCAUCCCUAGCGCAGGCAUCAGCUUGGAGUGGUGGGUGAUGGGUUGGUGGGGAGUCUGGGGGAGGGGAUCUCGCUGUUGCAGUCAAGAAGCAAGUGCGUAGUCCGCACGCACGACCUUUUCAGACAGUGGCACAGAGGAGCGAACUGCACUUUUUCUUGUAACCGAGUGGAUGUUGGCCUUGAGUGUGCGGAGGAAAGGGAGGAGAAGGGGAGACCUGGUGUAAGGACUGAUUGAUGGCGGUACUCAAGAGCUGGACCUGCACACCUGGCAAGACAGCAGUGGGACACAAAGUCGAUUGUCUGUGAUAAGGUGACUCCAGCAACAAAUCUUCCGCCAUUAUGGUUACAGUCGUCAAGGGGAAUAAACGCAACGUUCAUUGACGGUGGCAGGGCUUCUGCUUAUUGUUGAAAAGCAUGAUACCUGCCUGUAAGCUUUUCAGGGAAAGUUUUUAUGUCUUGGUGCCUGCAAGCACUUUAAGCUGCAGUGUUACAUAAAGUUUAAUAGCGAACAGCUACUGUUACUGCUACUGUUGUUUGGUUUCUCUUUUGCGUUUUCUGUAUUUGUUUUAUUCAUCAUCGGUUUGUUGUUUAUUCUUCUGUAGUUCUCAUGUUGUUUGUUUUCCUGUCACUUGUAGGUUGCCCACGACUUGUUCUUAAGCACUAAGAGCAUGCUCUUUAGGAGUGUGAUGCACUAUACAAAUAUGAUAGCAACUUUUGGCUGGCAGUUUUGAAAUGCCAUGUCACUGUUAAAUAAGUCAUCACAAAACGAGGCAUAUCGUAACAUCCUCUAAAAAAGUUGACUUUUUCGUAAUUCGCUGGACUCGUGCUAUUUGCUACACAAUUUGGACUGCUAUUGCAUUAGCAUAGAUUGCAAAAGGUCAUGUGAUGACUAUAAUUGCAAUCUGGGUCUGUCAUGCUAAUGGGCCAUUGUAUCUCAAUUAGAUUCUCAGUAAUUCUCAGUAAGAACACUAUUUGCCCAGGUGAUAAAAAUCUAAAGUAAUAUUGGGACUGUGGAGGAAAUAAAAAGAUGCCUUAACGAUGUUGGACACGAGAAAGCAAGAGUUGAUUGCAGUAAAAUCAGACUAAACGUUCAAAAUAAUGAACAGUGUUGUUUGUGCAGACCACUUGACAAAUUUUCCACUGAUUGACUUUCUGGACAGUCUUGCAAAAGGUUGAGAAAUCUUACCAAAUAGUCGUACCCUUUGUUGAGAGAGUUAAUCAAUUUUACUGACCACAUGGGCUUAUUUUCCAAAUUCCAAAUCCAUGCUGAUUUUCAACAGCUGGUUAAGGUGACUGAUUUAUUUGCGUUUUAAGAAAAGCAAUCAUCUUCCGCAUGGUAGUCAUGAGAAAGUCUUUGUGAUGUUGCCUGUUUGUGUUGAUAUUUUUUCCGACCCUGUUAAAACUCAAGUGCAUUCCAUUUCUAAAUAUAUUACAGUUAAUGCAGACACUCCACCACUGCAAACACUGCAGUGCAUUAUCUACUCAGUGACAGCAAGGGCUGUUGUUGUCUGGAAAGUUAGUCGUAGGUGUAAUAACAAUGACUUCAUUGCUGUGAUGGGUAGUCAUGUGAUGUCAGUAUGCAUACUUGUAACUGCAUAGUUGGCAACCGUGCAUGGCACUGCAGUGGAGGUUAUGAAAGUGUAUGCUAAUUAUAAUGCUGAUGAGGACAAGUUCACUUUGCAGUGUUGUAAUAGUUUAUGAGCGCUAAUGGCCAAUAUUCACUUCAAAGCUUAACUUUAUCUUUUGAGAAUAAGUCUUAUUUUAGUGUGACAAAUUCUAUUGAUAUUUACCAUAUCUAAAUCUUGUACAACAUAUAAUGCAGUAACAGUAGUGUGUGACACAUUUAUUGUGUUCCAUUUCACUUUACCAUGAAGACAUUCUUCAUUCAAGAAAUUAAAGGACAAAAAAACAUA
This 6365-nucleotide long non-coding RNA is filed under the name Pomacea canaliculata. Its description in RNAcentral is "uncharacterized LOC112566842". The record is from RNAcentral. Lineage: Eukaryota; Metazoa; Mollusca; Gastropoda; Architaenioglossa; Ampullariidae.